RNAcentral lists this ribosomal RNA (499 nucleotides) under uncultured Actinomycetes bacterium. RNAcentral's name for it is "bacterial SSU rRNA". It matches the Rfam family "Bacterial small subunit ribosomal RNA", at positions 468 to 965 of the family's 1533-position model. The record is from RNAcentral. Lineage: Bacteria; Bacillati; Actinomycetota; Actinomycetes.
GGUGACGGUACCUCCAGAAGAAGCCCCGGCUAACUACGUGCCAGCAGCCGCGGUAAUACGUAGGGGGCAAGCGUUGUCCGGAUUUAUUGGGCGUGAAGAGCGUGUAGGCGGCCAGAUAGGUCCGUUGUGAAAACUCGAGGCUCAACCUCGAGACGCCGAUGGAAACCAUUUGGCUAGAGUCCGGAAGAGGAGAGUGGAAUUCCUGGUGUAGCGGUGAAAUGCGCAGAUAUCAGGAAGAACACCCGUGGCUAAGGCGGCUCUCUAGUACGGUACUGACGNUGAGACGCGAAAGCGUGGGGAGCGAACAGGAUUAGAUACCCUGGUAGUCCACGCCGUAAACGAUGGGUGCUAGGUGUGGGGGGUGUCGACUCCCUCCGUGCCGAAGCUAACGCAUUAAGCACCCCGCCUGGGGAGUACGGCCGCAAGGCUAAAACUCAAAGGAAUUGACGGGGGCCCGCACAAGCAGCGGAGCAUGUGGUUUAAUUCGACGCAACGCGAA